GGCCCACCGAGCCGAUAAUUGGUACGGGGUGUGAGAGCACGAGCCCGGAGACGGAAUCUGAGACAAGAUUCCGGGCCCUACGGGGCGCAGCAGGCGCGAAACCUUUACACUGCACGAACGUGCGAUAAGGGGACUCCGAGUGCGAGGGCAUACAGUCCUCGCUAUUGUGUACCGUAGGGUGGUACACGACCAAGAGCUGGGCAAGACCGGUGCCAGCCGCCGCGGUAAUACCGGCAGCUCGAGUGAUGGCCGAUUUUAUUGGGCCUAAAGCGUCCGUAGCU
This 281-nucleotide ribosomal RNA is filed under the name uncultured archaeon. RNAcentral's name for it is "partial 16S ribosomal RNA". It matches the Rfam family "Archaeal small subunit ribosomal RNA", at positions 246 to 526 of the family's 1478-position model. The record is from RNAcentral.